AACGCUAGCUACAGGCUUAACACAUGCAAGUCGAGGGGCAGCAUGAACUUAGCUUGCUAAGUUUGAUGGCGACCGGCGCACGGGUGAGUAACACGUAUCCAACCUGCCGAUGACUCGGGGAUAGCCUUUCGAAAGAAAGAUUAAUACCCGAUGGCAUAGUUCUUCCGCAUGGUAGAACUAUUAAAGAAUUUCGGUCAUCGAUGGGGAUGCGUUCCAUUAGGUUGUUGGCGGGGUAACGGCCCACCAAGCCUUCGAUGGAUAGGGGUUCUGAGAGGAAGGUCCCCCACAUUGGAACUGAGACACGGUCCAAACUCCUACGGGAGGCAGCAGUGAGGAAUAUUGGUCAAUGGGCGAGAGCCUGAACCAGCCAAGUAGCGUGAAGGAUGACUGCCCUAUGGGUUGUAAACUUCUUUUAUAAAGGAAUAAAGUCGGGUAUGCAUACCCGUUUGCAUGUACUUUAUGAAUAAGGAUCGGCUAACUCCGUGCCAGCAGCCGCGGUAAUACGGAGGAUCCGAGCGUUAUCCGGAUUUAUUGGGUUUAAAGGGAGCGUAGAUGGAUGUUUAAGUCAGUUGUGAAAGUUUGCGGCUCAACCGUAAAAUUGCAGUUGAUACUGGAUAUCUUGAGUGCAGUUGAGGCAGGCGGAAUUCGUGGUGUAGCGGUGAAAUGCUUAGAUAUCACGAAGAACUCCGAUUG
This 693-nucleotide ribosomal RNA is filed under the name uncultured bacterium. RNAcentral's name for it is "bacterial SSU rRNA". It matches the Rfam family "Bacterial small subunit ribosomal RNA", at positions 32 to 715 of the family's 1533-position model. The record is from RNAcentral.